Molecule: long non-coding RNA, 975 nt
Filed under: Chrysemys picta bellii (western painted turtle)
Lineage: Eukaryota; Metazoa; Chordata; Testudines; Emydidae
Description: lncRNA (ENSCPBG00000007328.1)
Source: RNAcentral
UGGCCUACACAAGGUCAUCAUGAAAGGGAAUUGAUAGGAAUAAUAUGCACAUUGUCCAAUAAGAGAUAAACCAUGAUAUNNNNNNNNNNNNNNNNNNNNGACUUCAGUAUUUCCUCCCAGUAAUUGGGUCUGCACAAUCUCUGAGUCUGCACAUGUCUCUUGAGGGACAAACGCCAUCCCACAAUGUGGACUGAACAACAGCAGAAUGUAGUUAGGAGGUUGCGUCCUACCAGUGACCUGAUCAUUGCUGGCUGCAAUGCCUUUGCAAGAAAAUGUGAUGCUUCUCAACCUAGCAUAUGUGAAAUGUUGAUGUGGCCCUUUGAAUGGGUUUUAAAGCAGCAGAUGACAAAAAGAACUUUGGAAAGGCUUUUGACAUCAAGAAAGUAUGACUCAUAAGCUUGGGAGAGGAGAAGGUCAAAGCAAUUACAAAAGAUACUUCAAAGCAAUAGCCAAAUAGCCAUAGCUGGGCAAUAUGCCAUCCUCCAACCCAACAAGCCAGUACCUCUGAACUGUCUAAUCUGGAUUUGGCCAUGGUAACCACCAGGCUGAUUAUUGUAACAUACUACAUCUAGGAAUCAAAUUGCUGACCUUAAAAAGGCUACAACUGGUUCAGAAUGCAGAGACCUUUCUGCCGAGCAACUGAGACCUCCGAGAGCACAUCAACUCAGCUGUCCCACUGGACCAGUUUCAAAGUUUGGUCCUCAUCUUCAAAGUCCUAUGUGGGAUUGGCCCAGUUUACCCAAGGAACCUCUCCACCCUAUGUGAUCAUGAUGACUUCCCACAGCAGAACUGUGCCACUGGAAUAAUAGAACUGUCAGCUUCAAGAGUCACCCACCUGCUCACAGGACACACAGCUUUCUCAGGGACUGGCCCAUGACUCCUGAGCUCAUUUCCAGAUGAGAUCAGAAUGACAUCAAACUUCAGCAUCUUCAUAGUACAAAUAAAAAUGCACAUCUUUGACCUAGCUCUUUUACA